RNAcentral lists this ribosomal RNA (253 nucleotides) under uncultured bacterium. RNAcentral describes it as "partial 16S ribosomal RNA". It matches the Rfam family "Bacterial small subunit ribosomal RNA", at positions 524 to 776 of the family's 1533-position model. The record is from RNAcentral.
UACGUAGGGUGCAAGCGUUAAUCGGAAUUACUGGGCGUAAAGCGUGCGCAGGCGGCUUUGCAAGACAGAUGUGAAAUCCCCGGGCUUAACCUGGGAACUGCAUUUGUGACUGCAUGGCUGGAGUGCGGCAGAGGGGGAUGGAAUUCCGCGUGUAGCAGUGAAAUGCGUAGAUAUGCGGAGGAACACCGAUGGCGAAGGCAAUCCCCUGGGCCUGCACUGACGCUGAGGAGCGAAAGCGUGGGUAGCAAACAGG